Molecule: ribosomal RNA, 253 nt
Filed under: Coelotinae sp. ZZ386
Lineage: Eukaryota; Metazoa; Arthropoda; Arachnida; Araneae; Agelenidae
Description: partial 12S ribosomal RNA
Source: RNAcentral
AUCGAUAANCCACGUUAAAUUUCACUUCAAUUUAAAGCUUAUAUACCACCAUCUCAAGAAUUAAUUAACAAAUAUUUUCAAAAAAAAAAAUAAAAAGUUAGGUCAAGGUAUAACCCACAUUAAAGAAUGAGAUGAAUUACAUUAAUCAUAAAUUUAAGAUUACAAAUAAAAUAUUUAUAUAAAUAAGAAUUUAAAAGAAAUAUAGAAAUAAUAAUUCAAUAUGAUAAAGAUUACAAAUGUGCACACAUCGCCC